AUGCAAAAAAAUUCUGCAUUACCAAGAGUAUUACAGUUUUUGCAACUCCAUACCAAAUAUUUAGUUUUCACAAGUGCCAUAUCGACAUGCACUAUCUACAAUUCAUUAGUAAUUUCAGCACCAUCAAGCUCAGAUUCAGGAUCACAACUUACAAUUGUAGCAAUACCGGUCUCCGUUAUGAUUUUUCAGGCUCAUUAA
Molecule: ribosomal RNA, 198 nt
Filed under: Triticum aestivum (bread wheat)
Lineage: Eukaryota; Viridiplantae; Streptophyta; Magnoliopsida; Poales; Poaceae
Description: partial small subunit ribosomal RNA
Source: RNAcentral